CACCGCCCGUUGCUCCUACCGAUUGAAUGGUCCGGAGAAGUGUUCAGAUCGCGGCGACAUGGGCGGUUCGCUGCCCGCGACGUUGCGGGAAGUCCACUGAACCUUAUCAUUUAGAGGAAGGAGAAGUCCUAACAAGGUUUCCGUAGGUGAACCUGCGAAAG
Molecule: non-coding RNA, 161 nt
Filed under: Gossypium raimondii (Peruvian cotton)
Lineage: Eukaryota; Viridiplantae; Streptophyta; Magnoliopsida; Malvales; Malvaceae
Description: Eukaryotic small subunit ribosomal RNA
Rfam family: Eukaryotic small subunit ribosomal RNA
Source: Rfam by way of RNAcentral